Long non-coding RNA from Dicentrarchus labrax (European seabass), 1464 nucleotides. RefSeq lists it as uncharacterized. The transcript has 2 exons. NCBI's taxonomy places the organism in Eukaryota, Metazoa, Chordata, Actinopteri, Moronidae. The record is from RefSeq and is a predicted model, not a curated record.
UGGCGAUAGGAAAUCUAAUGUUGAAGUUAGAGCGGAUUAUUUUUAUGAGUGAAAAUGAAAACAACCUCUUCUGUAAGUGCGGAGUGGAAACUCACAACAGACUCGUAACAGGAAGAAAAAAAAACCCUAAGCACAUCGAGUCUGGAUAAAUUCCAACCAGUUGAGCCUGUAGAUCCAUCCAAGUGUAGACUCAAUGAGCCUAACUCAUACAAACACAGCCCCAUUUGAACCAGGAGCCUGCUGUGCAGCCUGAACAUGUGCGGCUGACCCCUGAGGAGAGUCACUCUCUCUCAGCCUCUGAUGUGGAAUGAGACGUUUUUAUCUACAUACACUGUGGGUCGCCAUCAAUGGAGUCUGCUAUGUUGAACCGCCAUGUUUCUAUAAACAGUUUUACAGUCACAUUUUCUCCUACACACUCCCAGCUCAUCAAAUACAGACGCCAGCAGUGUUUAAUCAGUUGGAAUCAGCAACUGCACCACUAGAUGUGACUAAAUCCUACAUCCUGGUCCUUUAAUAAUCACUAUAGCUUCAUAUAUAUAUAUAUAUAUAUAUAUAUAUAUUAAAUGAGUCAUAAUUUUAAGAUACCAUGAUGCAAUAAACUGAACUGGUGACCUGUGGAGGGGGUACCUCACCUCUCACACAAUGUCAGCUGGGAUCAGCUCAAGCCAUCCGGCGAACCUCCAAAGUAUAAGAGGUUAUAAAUAAUAGAUGGAUGGAUGAAGCAAUAACUAAUUUCACUGCAGUAUUCUGUAGUUAUUAUUAAUCGGUACUCAGUAAUUUAAAAGAUACGCUCCGAGUACAUACUUAAUUGUAUUAUGUAAUUUGUGGGCUCCAUUACAAGUAAAAGUAUUAUCAGAAAUAUAUACUUACAAAAGUGAUGUCAAUCAUAGUGUUUUAUAUAUAUUAUAGGAUUAUUGUUAGUAAUUUAUUAAGGCGUGAGCAGCAUUUCUGUUGUAGCUGGUUAAGGUGGAGCUGAUUUUAACAGCUUUAUAGUCGAGUGUUGGGCUGUUUAAAUCUGCAAAGAAACACAAUUGUAUAAAAAUAAUUUAUGUUAAUAAUUGAGUCCUGAACCUGUAGUCUGAAUAUUUAAACCUGUUUAAAAAAAAGAAAGAAUAAAAAGGUACCAUUGCUCCGUAAAAAGUUGAUUUGUAUUAAAAUAUUGCCCCUAGUUACCAUUUUAGACUAAAUUGACUUGAAAAUAUGCAAAAUAAAACUAGUAACUGCAGAGUAAAAGGUACAAUAUUACUGAAAUGUAGUGGAGUUAAAGCAUAAUGUUUGUACAUUCGUUACAUACAAUAGCUCAAUACUAAAGUAAAGUAAUGUAUUUCAUGGUCAGGUUGCCAUCUUAUCUAACGGGAAAUUACCUUUUCAGCUUCCUGUGGAGUCAGCCCGAUUCUACAGGAAGCCCUCCCAAAAUCUACCUAAUGGUGUUUUCAGUGUCAUAAAAUAAAAAAGGUGCUCUCA